Molecule: long non-coding RNA, 3691 nt
Filed under: Triticum aestivum (bread wheat)
Lineage: Eukaryota; Viridiplantae; Streptophyta; Magnoliopsida; Poales; Poaceae
Description: long non-coding RNA (TAES_LNC001374)
Source: RNAcentral
UAAUUUCUACAAAGCCCCACUAAGAAUUACAAUGUAAGAUGCAAUGAAAAAGACACUGUAAAAUCCACUAAAAUGACACUGUAAAUCCACUAAAAUGACACUCCCAAACUUUACCAAAGUCAGUCAAAAAAGCAGCAGUAACAAAAAGGUGAAGAAGGGAUAAAUUGAGAUACAAGGAACAAAUGAUCAUUAACAAAAAAAGGACCCUUGAUAUAGAAUCAAAAAUCUGCUCAAAAUACGUACUGCAGAGUUACAGGCAUAAAGACAUGACACUACAAUCAAAAUGAAAAAACAUACAGACCACUACUAAAUCAAAAAUACUGAUAUGCUCAGAUUGCAUGCUACUUUGUUCAGAUUACAUGCUACUAAAAAAAGAACUCAGCCACCAUUUGUGCUAGGACCGCACACAUGUUUAACCUCACCCGGCAUUGCUUCUCCCUACACACAAAUAUUCAAAGAGACCCAGAAUGUUAGUAAAAGAAACAAGAGGCUAAAAAGGAGAAUAAGAAAAUGUAACAAAUGACAAGGAAAGUAAAGAACAUACAUCACGAUAGAAACCAGUUACGAAAGACUUGUCACAACUGUUCAUGGGGCUGCAAAACAUGUCAUUCGCAUAUCUGAUCCUAAGAUUUGGAAUGUCUGCACUGGAGAAAAAGUUUGCCAUCUGAGUUCUUGGUGUGAAUAUCUCCAUAUACUUAAAUGUGAAGACACCACAUUCAUGGCUGAAAAGAUAAAAAGAACACAAAUAAGAAAAAUAAAGCUUUCAUACAAAUCUGUAUAAAAAUUAAACAAGAACAUGAAAAGGCAGAAAAACUUAAAUACCGAUUAUCUUGCUUAGGGACAGCUGGGUACAACACAUGAAACUCUUCGAAGUUAAUCAUUUUCAUGUUAGAAAGAAAAUAAAGUACUAUUGGUAGAAUUAAAGUGCUUGUUACAAUGAAGAAAAUAAGACUAAAUCAUUAGAGCAAAGCAAAUGGAUUCUAGUACAAAUGGUUCUCAGAUUUACAAGUAAAACCACUAAGAAUUACGGUGUAAAACCCACUAACAAAGACAGUAAAUAGUUAGAGUGUAAAUCCAAUGAUAGUUACACAGUAAAAAUGCAAAAAAAAAGUGUAAAUCCAAAAAUGAGAAUUACACUGUAAAUCCACUAAGAUAUUACAGUGUAAAUAAUUUGAGAUUUACACUAUCAAAACAAGAUAAUUAUACUAGAUCAAACAAGACAAUUACAGUGUAAAAUCAUUUGAGAGUUACACUAAAAAAUUACAGUGUAAACACUAUGAGAAUCACACUGUAAUUACAGUGUGAAAAUUUAUAGUGUAAAUACUAUGAGAAUUACACUGUAAUCAAACAAGAUAAUUACAAUGCAAAAAAUCCACUACAAAUACCGUGAGAGAAACACUAAAAGAUAUUACAGUGAAAAUACUUUUAGAAUUACACUGUAAAUCCACUACGAGAAUUACAGUGUAAAUCCUUUGAGAAUUACACUGUAAAAUUCAAUAAGAUAUUACAGUGCAAAUACUUUGAGAUUUACACUGUAGCAAAACAAGAUAAUUACACUGCAUCAAACAAGACGAUUACAGUGUAAAAUCAUUUGAGAGUUAGACUAAAAAAUUACGGUGUAAAUACUUUGAGAAUUUCGCUGUAUCAAAACAAGAUAACUACAGUGCGAAAAAUACUAAAAGAUAUUACAGUGAAAAUACUUUGAGAAUUACACUAUAAAUCUACUAAGAGAGUUACAGUGUAAAUCCUUUGAGAAUUACACUGUAAAAUACAGUAAGAUAUUACAGUGUAAAUACUUUAAGAUUUACACUGUAUCAAAACAAGAUAAUUACACUACAUCAAACAGAUGAUUACAGUGUAAAAUCAUUUGAGAGUUGCACUAACAAAUUACAGUGUAAAUACUUUGAGAAUUACACUGUAUAAAAACAAGAUAAUUACAGUGUGAAAAAUCCACUACAAAUACUGUGAGAGAAACACCAAAAGAUAUUACAAUGAAAAUACUUUGAGAAUUACACUGUAAAAUCCAAUAAGAUACAGUGCAAAUUCUUUGAGAAUUACACUGUAAAACAAAGAUAAUUACAGUGUAAAAUACUUUGAGAAUUACACUGUAUCAAAACAAGAUAAUGACAGUGUAAAAAACCCACUAAAAAUACUUUGAGUGUUACACUAAAAGAUAUUACAAAAAACCAGAGACAAAGGCUGCUUCUUAAGAUGAGAGAGGAUCACAUUUACGCUGCAGCCACAUAGAUAAAAAAACUGCUUAUUAAGUAUUACUAGUGUUUCAAAAAAUCAUUGCAAACACACAUCAAUCCACACAAAAAUGCAAAAAGGCGGCCAGGUAGAUGCAAACCACACUUCAAACACCCAUUGGCAAAGGUCCGAGCAUGUAGACACAGGCUCAUAUCAGUCACCAACUUAUUUCAGAGCCACAAAGGCGAGCGAGACUCACCAAUAAAACCACUAAUAAGAUAAGGAAAACACAUUGCCAUGGCACUAAGAUUUACACAGUAAAACCACAAAAGAAUUACAGUGUGACUACACUGGGAUUUAUGCUGUAAAAAUACACUAGGAAUCAACCGAAGAUGCAUUCCAAAAUGCACUAAGAAUUACAUUGUAAAUCUACUAACGAAUUACACUGUAAAAAUCAUUUAAAUACAGUCAAAAAACACUAGGGAUUACACUGUAAACCAACUUACACAUAACCGAAUUUACAAAAGAAGAUACAAAAGCACUCGAAAAAUCACUGAAACUUACACAUUACUGACGCUUAACUGGUAAAAAUUCAGUCUCAAUCACUCUAAAAUUGCUCAAAAUUAACAGUACAACACACUAACAGAAACAACUGGCGUCAUACACACAUACAGUUCAAAACAUCUAGGAGCUCAUUCAAAUCAGUUACAUCCACGUAUCUAUGGGCUGUGCACAUAUAGGGGCACUGAACAACUGCAACCACAUUAGGGGAGCAGAAAAUUAAACGUAGACAUGGGCGGAAAUUGACCCCUACAACUACAUGGACCAGGCGUUGCUGCAUCUACAUCUACUGAGAUGUUGCUCCCUCUCCAUCAACAACCGAAAAAUCUAGGAACCACCACAAAACAACCUAAAAAGCGCUGGAUCCACCACCGCACAUGGGAACAAAAACGUCACUACGCCAGAUCUAGCAAAAUCCUAUAGAAAUUGCAUCGAAAUGAAGACAGGGGGGAGGAUAUUGGCAAAACAAACCUCGUUGGGGGAAGAAGGGAGACACAGGGCUCGGAGAACACCACAGCAAUAGGAGCAGCAGCGCGAAAUUAACAGUAGCAGAUGAGAUACCGCCGCGAAAUCACCAUGUGUCGACUUCCCCUCUUCCUCGACGCGCUUGCAGGAGAAGCAACAGGGGUAGGGGAAGGACGCCAACCACAGGCUCGCUCUUCGGAGAUCAGCGGCAGAGCUAACCACUCAAAUCGCCAUGGCCCUCUCCUCUCUGCCUCCAAGAUCUCGCCGUUCAAAAUGGGAAAGGGAAACAGACAAAGUCACCCGCCUCCAAGAUCUCGCCGUUCAAAAUGGGGAAGGGAAACAGACAAAGUCACCGCAUGAGAUAAUAGGAAAUUCAAAGAAAAAAAAAACCCGCUAGUACACGGACCUGUUCGGGAUUAACGGGUCUUCAGGGGCGUAGUUGCGGGCCCGGUAACAAAAAAACACCCGUGAGGCU